Mustela lutreola (European mink) is the source of this 1437-nucleotide long non-coding RNA. RefSeq lists it as uncharacterized. NCBI's taxonomy places the organism in Eukaryota, Metazoa, Chordata, Mammalia, Carnivora, Mustelidae. The record is from RefSeq and is a predicted model, not a curated record. The transcript is spliced from 5 exons.
UUUGCACCAAAUACUAUUCCUCCUGGCAAUAUGUAGGUGUCCUGAUUGCUCCAUAUCCUUGCCAACACUUGGUAUCAUCCGUCUUUUGAACUUGUGGCCAUUCUGAGAGAGAGAGUAUUCUGAGUAACAGAGGAGCCUAAUUUACAGGAGGGAAUCUGAAGGUCUCCUUCUGCCAAGAACCGAAUAGGAAUUCACCAAGGGAAGCACAGAUGCUGGUUUUCAAAUUCAUCAGUGCACACUUGCGACUGCCACCGAGGCAUGAAAGCAGCGAAGAUAAUACCCAAAUGAACAGACAGAGAUCACAAGCAGGCAGAGAGAGAGGGGGAAGCAGACUCCCUGCCGGGCAGAAAGCCCGACGCGGGGCUUGAUCCCAGAACCCCGAGAUCAUGACCUGAACUGAAGGCAGAGGCUUAACCCACUGAGCCACCCCAGCACCCUGGUGAUGUUAUCUGUUUGCCACCCAUUUUGCAAGAGAGGAAAUGGAGAAGGAGAAACUGGAACCGCUUGCCUACAGCUAGUAAGGAGAACCACCAGGGUUCACAGCGUGGUUUGCCUGCUGGUUGACCUGCACUGUUGGUAAUCUGGCUCGCCGGGAUAAGCAGAAUGGGCAGUGCCAAUGAGAUGACCCAACAGCAUCCCAUAUAUUCACGCACAAGGGCGGGAAAAGCAGGGCUCACUUUGCCUGCUUAACUCUUCAGGUGCUUAUUCUAACCAUGCAGAUGAGGAGCUUUGAGCACAUCAUGGCAAAGGGAGAUGAAUCACCCCUUAGCCCUUCACCUCUGGAUCCCCGGUCAUGUCUGCAGGGAAGCUUUGGGCCUGUGUCAACGCGAAGUAGGUCGGGCUGCAAGCCAAGCCUGCAUCUCACAUGGGGAGUGACUGCACCAUUAGUGAAAGCUGUGGGCAAUUCACAGCUCAGGGAAACUUGGCCUACAAACUGGUUAUACCACCCUGGUUAGGGCACGAACAAAGCACUCACUGCCUAGACCACUCAUGAAAGUUCUAGAGUGGACAUGUGGGAAGACAUCAAGGCUCCUGUGGGCUUAGGAAGAGAAAGGCUAGUUGGUUUCAAUAUUCCCUGAUUAAAAUACAUUCACCCCUUGUAUCUUAGUGUUCCACAUCCAUCAUUUUAUUUCACCUUCCGAUCACCUCUGCGAGGUAAGAACAAUUACUGUCUCCAUGUUACAGACACAGAAGCAGACAGAGAGCGAAUCACUUUCACAAGCAUACGUAGAAAGUAGCAGAAUGAGCAUGCCGGUGAUGCCUGGUUCCAGGUCUUGUGUCCUUAACCAUUAGGUAAUACUCCUUUCCAACAGAAGAUUACUUGCUGUUAGUAUUUUACUAAUCCAGUCUUGACUGGGUGUCCCGUGAGUGGUUCACAUUCCCCCUGGGAACCCAGGAAAGACCACAAGCUUGUCCUAUUCACACCAUGGAGAGGAG